CUACCAUGGCGUUUACGGGUAACGGAGGAUUAGGGCUCGAUUCCGGAGAGGGAGCCUGAGAAACGGCUACCACAUCUAAGGAAGGCAGCAGGCGCGUAAAUUACCCAAUCCUGACUCAGGGAGGUAGUGACAAGAAAUAACGGACCGUUAGCCUUCGGGCGGCGGGACUGCAAUGAGCCGAAUUUACACCCCUUAGCGAGGACCAAUUGGAGGGCAAGUCUGGUGCCAGCAGCCGCGGUAAUUCCAGCUCCAAUAGCGUAUAUUAAAGUUGUUGCAGUUAAAAAGCUCGUAGUUGGAUUUCUGCCAGGGUGCCAAUGUCCGCCGAAGUGCGUGCGCAGCGGCGCCCUCGCAUCCUUCUGUUAACGCCUCUCGGCAUUCACUUGCCGGUGGUGGGCUCAGAUAAUUUACCUUGAGAAAAUUAGAGUGUUUCAGGCAGGCUAGGCCGGAAUACAUUAGCAUGGAAUAAUGGAAUAGGACUACGGUCUCGUUGUUGGUUUGAGGGACUGGAGUAAUGAUUAAUAGGGAUAGUUGGGGGCAUUAGUAUUUAAUUGUCAGAGGUGAAAUUCUCAGAUUUGUUAAAGACUAACUUAUGCGAAAGCAUUUGCCAAGGAUGUUUUCAUUAAUCAA
This 627-nucleotide ribosomal RNA is filed under the name Ciliophora sp. RNAcentral's name for it is "SSU rRNA". It matches the Rfam family "Eukaryotic small subunit ribosomal RNA", at positions 341 to 980 of the family's 1831-position model. The record is from RNAcentral. Lineage: Eukaryota; Ciliophora.